UUCCAUUGAGAUUACUGUAAUAAUAAGAAAAUUAAUAUAAUAAAUUCGUAUAUUCGCAAUAAAUGCAGAAAAGCACCAGAAUCCAAUAUAUUUCCAUGACUAUUCCCGUUAAAAGACUUGAAUCGGACUGAAUGCAAGACGAAGACUCAAGUCUUCUUAUAUAUCAAUGCUUAUCAAUCAAUGCCAUAAAUCAUGCAAUAUCAGACUUGGCCUCG
RNAcentral lists this small RNA (215 nucleotides) under Drosophila pseudoobscura pseudoobscura. Its description in RNAcentral is "GA31531". The record is from RNAcentral. Lineage: Eukaryota; Metazoa; Arthropoda; Insecta; Diptera; Drosophilidae.